This 574-nucleotide ribosomal RNA is filed under the name uncultured Eubacterium sp. RNAcentral describes it as "bacterial SSU rRNA". It matches the Rfam family "Bacterial small subunit ribosomal RNA", at positions 56 to 653 of the family's 1533-position model. The record is from RNAcentral. Lineage: Bacteria; Bacillati; Bacillota; Clostridia; Eubacteriales; Eubacteriaceae.
UGCAGUCGAGCGAGAGAGUUCCUUCGGGAACAAUCUAGCGGCGGACGGGUGAGUAACACGUGGGCAACCUGCCUCAUAGAGGGGAAUAGCCUCCCGAAAGGGAGAUUAAUACCGCAUAAUAUCAUUGAGUGGCAUCAUUUAAUGAUUAAAGGAGUAAUCCGCUAUGAGAUGGGCCCGCGGCGCAUUAGCUAGUUGGUGAGGUAACGGCUCACCAAGGCGACGAUGCGUAGCCGACCUGAGAGGGUGAUCGGCCACAUUGGGACUGAACACGGCCCAGACUCCUACGGGAGGCAGCAGUGGGGAAUAUUGCACAAUGGGGGAAACCCUGAUGCAGCAACGCCGCGUGAGUGAUGAAGGUCUUCGGAUGAAAGCUCUGUCUUCAGGGACGAUAAUGACGGUACCUGAGAGAAGCCACGGCUAACUACGUGCCAGCAGCCGCGGUAAUACGUAGGUGGCAAGCGUUAUCCGGAUUUACUGGGCGUAAAGGGAGCGUAGGCGGAUAAUUAAGUGGGAUGUGAAAUACCCGGGCUCAACUUGGGUGCUGCAUUCCAAACUGGUUAUCUAGAGUGCAGGA